Molecule: ribosomal RNA, 349 nt
Filed under: uncultured bacterium
Lineage: Bacteria
Description: bacterial SSU rRNA
Rfam family: Bacterial small subunit ribosomal RNA
Source: RNAcentral
AGAGUUUGAUCCUGGCUCAGGACGAACGCUGGCGGCGCGCCUAACACAUGCAAGUCGAACGAGAGAUGAGGAGCUUGCUUUUCAAAUCGAGUGGCGAACGGGUGAGUAACGCGUGAGGAACCUGCCUCAAAGAGGGGGACAACAGUUGGAAACGACUGCUAAUACCGCAUAAGCCCACGGCUCGGCAUCGAGCAGGGGGAAAGGAGUGAUCCGCUUUGAGAUGGCCUCGCGUCCGAUUAGCUAGUUGGUGAGGUAAUGGCCCACCAAGGCGACGAUCGGUAGCCGGACUGAGAGGUUGAACGGCCACAGUUGGGACUGAGACACGGCCCAGACCUCCGUACGGGAGGCA